UUUAUAAAUAAAUAAUAUUAAUUUUACAAUGAAAAUGUAAGGUUUUUUAAUUAAACUAUAUAAAAAAAAGAAAU
RNAcentral lists this transfer RNA (74 nucleotides) under Calopteron sp. UPOL A00633. Its description in RNAcentral is "tRNA-Gln". Lineage: Eukaryota; Metazoa; Arthropoda; Insecta; Coleoptera; Lycidae. The record is from RNAcentral.